Molecule: long non-coding RNA, 267 nt
Organism: Peromyscus californicus insignis
Lineage: Eukaryota; Metazoa; Chordata; Mammalia; Rodentia; Cricetidae
Exons: 2
Source: RefSeq, a predicted model, not a curated record
UGCCUGUCAGCGUCCGAUGAGGAUCGAGGAUCUGACCAGAGAAAUCUGACCAGGCAAAGGCCUCAACGGCCGCUUGUUUGACCCCUGCGUUACCAGGAGACCGGAGUACGAGGGAUGGAACCCAAGACCUUGAAAAUGCUGGGCAAACAUACCACUGAGAUGAAGUUUCAGUCCUUAAAAUUCAUUUUAAAGUGACUACAUAUGAAACACAGAAAAUUGUAUGUCACUGUGCAUAAUUGUAUUUAUAAAAGCCUUUAAUUCUUUUUG